Long non-coding RNA from Magnolia sinica, 577 nucleotides. RefSeq lists it as uncharacterized. The record is from RefSeq and is a predicted model, not a curated record. Lineage: Eukaryota; Viridiplantae; Streptophyta; Magnoliopsida; Magnoliales; Magnoliaceae. The transcript is spliced from 3 exons.
UCAACCUGAUGAAGGAUGUCACAUAAAUGUGUCAUGUUGGCACAUGUGUGAUGAUUCACCUCUUGGAUAUCUCCUUGUUUUAUUUAUUUAUUUAUUUAUUAUUAUUAUUAUUUUUUGAUGUUCUCAUUGUCUAUGUGAGGGAGUUCACCCUUAUAUAAGAUGUGAACAAACAUAAAUCACUCAUGCUUGCCUGUCAGCCUACUUGGAUGUAUGCAAUUUUGUGUAAUCUUUCUUCUAUAUGUAAUUGAAUAAUAAUGUUGAUUUUCAGCUACAAGGACCGAUUUCUUGCUGCUUUGCCAGCACCUCGUUGAGCAAGUGUUGACUUCAGUUGGCCUGUUUUCACAGCCACUGCAUUCUACUUGUGUGCAAAAAGGCACAAGCUUAAAGUAGACAAGAUUAAGCUUAUUGAGCUAUGUGGCACAUCAGAAUCUGAAUUUACUAGUGUUUUCCUGCAUCAAUUUUCUCAUAAGAUGUUGCUUCUUGUGCAACAGAUUCUGUACAUGCAUGUUUCCAUUUUCACCAAGACACUAAGAAUAAAAGACAAACAACAGAUGACUGUGACUCUGUAAUAGCCAAA